ACGGGUGAGUAAUAUAUCGGAACGUGCCCAAUCGUGGGGGAUAACGUAGAGAAAUUUACGCUAAUACCGCAUACGAUCUAAGGAUGAAAGCGGGGGAUCGCAAGACCUCGCGCGAUUGGAGCGGCUGAUAUCAGAUUAGGUUGUUGGUGAGGUAAAAGCUCACCAAGCCGACGAUCUGUAGCUGGUUUGAGAGAACGACCAGCCACACUGGGACUGAGACACGGCCCAGACUCCUACGGGAGGCAGCAGUGGGGAAUUUUGGACAAUGGGCGAAAGCCUGAUCCAGCAAUGCCGCGUGCAGGAAGAAGGCCUUCGGGUUGUAAACUGCUUUUGUACGGAACGAAACGGCUCUUUCUAAUAAAGAGGGCUAAUGACGGUACCGUAAGAAUAAGCACCGGCUAACUACGUGCCAGCAGCCGCGGUAAUACGUAGGGUGCGAGCGUUAAUCGGAAUUACUGGGCGUAAAGCGUGCGCAGGCGGUUAUAUAAGACAGUUGUGAAAUCCCCGGGCUCAACCUGGGAAUUGCAUCUGUGACUGUAUAGCUAGAGUACGGUAGAGGGGGAUGGAAUUCCGCGUGUAGCAGUGAAAUGC
Molecule: ribosomal RNA, 591 nt
Filed under: Polaromonas sp. RDB-021
Lineage: Bacteria; Pseudomonadati; Pseudomonadota; Betaproteobacteria; Burkholderiales; Comamonadaceae
Also listed under: 12 other names
Description: bacterial SSU rRNA
Rfam family: Bacterial small subunit ribosomal RNA
Source: RNAcentral